GAUGAAGAACGUAGCGAAAUGCGAUAAUUAAUGUGAAUUGCAGAAUUCAGUGAAUCAUCGAAUCUUUGAACGCACAUUGCGCCCCCUGGUAUUCCGGGGGGCAUGCCUGUCCGAGCGUCAUUACAACCCUCAAGCUCAGCUUGGUGUUGGGCCCCGCCGCCCCGGCGGGCCCUAAAGUCAGUGGCGGUGCCGUCCGGCUCCGAGCGUAGUAAUUCUUCUCGCUCUGGAGGUCCGGUCGUGUGCUCGCCAGCAACCCCCAAUUUUUUUCAGGUUGACCUCGGAUCAGGUAGGGAUACCCGCUGAACUUAAGCAUAUAAAUAAGCGGAGGA
RNAcentral lists this unclassified non-coding RNA (329 nucleotides) under soil metagenome. RNAcentral describes it as "partial contains 5.8S ribosomal RNA, internal transcribed spacer 2, and large subunit ribosomal RNA". The stretch from base 1 to 120 matches the Rfam family "5.8S ribosomal RNA", at positions 35 to 154 of the family's 154-position model. The record is from RNAcentral.